Penaeus indicus is the source of this 184-nucleotide long non-coding RNA. RefSeq lists it as uncharacterized. NCBI's taxonomy places the organism in Eukaryota, Metazoa, Arthropoda, Malacostraca, Decapoda, Penaeidae. The record is from RefSeq and is a predicted model, not a curated record. The transcript is spliced from 3 exons.
CUACACUUGCUCUAGUGAGGAUGUGGGUCAGAAUAUGUUUUGUACAACAUGUUUUAUAUUUGGAACUCAUAGUCAACAUGAUGUUGUUGAAUUUGAUAAGCUUGCGGAGAAGUACAUGACAGAGAUAAAAGUAGGAGUUGAGGAACUAACAGGUGCCAUAGACCAACUGGAAGAGAGCCGUUUG